AUUGAACGCUGGCGGCAUGCCUUACACAUGCAAGUCGAACGGUAACAGGUCUUCGGAUGCUGACGAGUGGCGAACGGGUGAGUAAUACAUCGGAACGUGCCUAGUAGUGGGGGAUAACUACUCGAAAGAGUGGCUAAUACCGCAUGAGAUCUACGGAUGAAAGCAGGGGAUCGCAAGACCUUGUGCUACUAGAGCGGCCGAUGGCAGAUUAGGUAGUUGGUGGGAUAAAAGCUUACCAAGCCGACGAUCUGUAGCUGGUCUGAGAGGACGAUCAGCCACACUUGGACUGAGACACGGCCCAGACUCGUACGGGAGGCAGAAGUGGGGAAUUUUGGACAGUGGGCGCAAGCCUGAUCCAGCAAUGCCGCGUGCAGGAUGAAGGCCUUCGGGUUGUAAACUGCUUUUGUACGGAACGAAAAGCCCUGGGUUAAUACCCUGGGGUCAUGACGGUACCGUAAGAAUAAGCACCGGCUAACUACGUGCCAGCCGCCGCCGUAA
This 498-nucleotide ribosomal RNA is filed under the name uncultured bacterium. RNAcentral's name for it is "partial 16S ribosomal RNA". It matches the Rfam family "Bacterial small subunit ribosomal RNA", at positions 30 to 523 of the family's 1533-position model. The record is from RNAcentral.